RNAcentral lists this ribosomal RNA (462 nucleotides) under uncultured Bacteroidota bacterium. Its description in RNAcentral is "bacterial SSU rRNA". It matches the Rfam family "Bacterial small subunit ribosomal RNA", at positions 224 to 683 of the family's 1533-position model. Lineage: Bacteria; Pseudomonadati; Bacteroidota. The record is from RNAcentral.
GAUGAGCAUGCGUCCCAUUAGCUAGUUGGUGUGGUAACGGCACACCAAGGCAACGAUGGGUAGGGGUCCUGAGAGGGAGAUCCCCCACACUGGUACUGAGACACGGACCAGACUCCUACGGGAGGCAGCAGUGAGGAAUAUUGGUCAAUGGGCGCAAGCCUGAACCAGCCAUGCCGCGUGCAGGAUGACGGUCCUAUGGAUUGUAAACUGCUUUUGUACAGGAAGAAACACUCCCUCGUGAGGGAGCUUGACGGUACUGUAAGAAUAAGGAUCGGCUAACUCCGUGCCAGCAGCCGCGGUAAUACGGAGGAUCCAAGCGUUAUCCGGAAUCAUUGGGUUUAAAGGGUCCGUAGGCGGGUUUAUAAGUCAGUGGUGAAAGCCCACCGCUCAACGAUGGAACGGCCAUUGAUACUGUAGAUCUUGAAUUAUUAGGAAGUAACUAGAAUAUGUAGUGUAGCGGUG